RNAcentral lists this ribosomal RNA (553 nucleotides) under uncultured bacterium. RNAcentral describes it as "bacterial SSU rRNA". It matches the Rfam family "Bacterial small subunit ribosomal RNA", at positions 772 to 1319 of the family's 1533-position model. The record is from RNAcentral.
ACUGAAUAGAUACCCGGGUAGUCCAUGCUGUAAACGAUGUCAACUAGCCGUUGGGGCCCUUGAGGCUUUAAGUGGCGCAGCUAACGCGAUAAGUUGACCGCCUGGGGAGUACGGCCGCAAGGUUAAAACUCAAAUGAAUUGACGGGGGCCCGCACAAGCGGUGGAGUAUGUGGUUUAAAUUCGAUGCAACGCGAAGAACCUUACCUGGCCUUGACAUAUCCGGAACCCUGCAGAGAUGCGGGGGUUGCCUUCGGGAAUCGGAAUACAGGUGCUGCAUGGCUGUCGUCAGCUCGUGUCGUGAGAUGUUGGGUUAAGUCCCGCAACGAGCGCAACCCUUAUCCUUAGUUGCCAGCGCGUAAAGGCGGGAACUCUAGGGAGACUGCCGGUGACAAACCGGAGGAAGGCGGGGUACGACGUCAAGUCAUCAUGGCCCGUUACGGCCAGGGCUACACACGUACUACAAUGGUCGGUACAAAGGGUUGCUAAGCCGCGAGGCCACGCCAAUCUCAAAAACGCCGAUCGUAGUCCAGAUUGGAGUCUGCAACUCGACUCC